GAUGAAGAACGUAGCGAAAUGCGAUAAGUAAUGUGAAUUGCAGAAUUCAGUGAAUCAUCGAAUCUCCGCACCCACCUUGCGCUCUUUGGUAUUCCGAAGAGCAUGCCUGUUUGAGUGUCAUGAAAAUAUCAACCUUGACUUGGGUUUUGUGCUCUAGUCUCGGCUUGGAAUUGGGUGCUUGCCGCUUUUACGAGCGGCUCACCUUAAAUGUAUUAGCUGGAUCUGUCUUUGAGACUUGGUUUGACUUGGCGUAAUAAGUAUUUCGCUAAGGACAUUCUUCGGAGUGGCCUCGUUUCUAGGACGCUUGUCCGCUUUCCAAUACAAGUUCCACCUCGUGGACAUGACUUUUUAUUAUCUGGCCUCAAAUCAGGUAGGACUACCCGCUGAACUUAAGCAUAUCAAUAAGCGGAGGA
This 413-nucleotide unclassified non-coding RNA is filed under the name soil metagenome. RNAcentral's name for it is "partial contains 5.8S ribosomal RNA, internal transcribed spacer 2, and large subunit ribosomal RNA". The stretch from base 1 to 120 matches the Rfam family "5.8S ribosomal RNA", at positions 35 to 154 of the family's 154-position model. The record is from RNAcentral.